UACAGAGGUGGCGAGCGUUGUUCGGAAUUACUGGGCUUAAAGGGCGCGUAGGCGGUGAGACAAGUCUGAGGUGAAAUCUUAGGGCUUAACCCUAAAACUGCCUUGGAAACUGUUUUACUUGAGUCAGCGAGGGGAUGGUGGAAUUCCCGGUGUAGCAGUGAAAUGCGUAGAUAUCGGGAGGAAGGCCGGUGGCGAAGGCGACCAUCUGGCGCUGAACUGACGCUGAGGCGCGAAAGUGUGGGGAGCAAACGGGAUUAGAAACCCUGGUAGU
RNAcentral lists this ribosomal RNA (271 nucleotides) under uncultured bacterium. RNAcentral describes it as "partial 16S ribosomal RNA". It matches the Rfam family "Bacterial small subunit ribosomal RNA", at positions 524 to 794 of the family's 1533-position model. The record is from RNAcentral.